GACAGAGGGUGCAAACGUUGUUCGGAAUUACUGGGCGUAAAGGGCGCGUAGGCGGCCUUCUAAGUCGGACGUGAAAUCCCUCGGCUCAACCGAGGAACUGCGUCUGAUACUGGAAGGCUUGAAUCCGGGAGAGGGAUGUGGAAUUCCAGGUGUAGCGGUGAAAUGCGUAGAUAUCUGGAGGAACACCAGUGGCGAAAGCGGCUCUCUGGGACGGUACUGACGCUGAGACGCGAAAGCGUGGGGAGCGAACAGG
RNAcentral lists this ribosomal RNA (253 nucleotides) under uncultured bacterium. RNAcentral's name for it is "partial 16S ribosomal RNA". It matches the Rfam family "Bacterial small subunit ribosomal RNA", at positions 524 to 776 of the family's 1533-position model. The record is from RNAcentral.